GAGUUUGAGACAGAGUUUAAGAAUCAAUUUUGCCCCAUUAAUGUAGAAAAGACAGCAACUGAUUAGUUGGCAAAUCUUAUACAAUCGAGGUUGGUGUAAGAUUAUGUCUCUUGAUUUAAGUUUUUAUAUUUUUAAAUUGAUAAUUUUUGAAUGCAGAGAUAAUUGAUUGAUUCCUACAAGGUUUGAAAUCUAUGGUUUAGCGAGAAGUAGAACUAAGGGAUAUAUAAACAUUCAAAGAGGUAAUUUAGACUAUAGAGAGGGUUGAUGCUACAGAUUUCAAAAAUUAUAGAGUACAACCUAUAGUACGAAGUUCUAUGCUGCUAUCUAAUAAUAUGGCACAACAACCAAUAUCAAUAGAGAUUGAUGCUCUAUAA
RNAcentral lists this long non-coding RNA (374 nucleotides) under Physcomitrium patens. Its description in RNAcentral is "long non-coding RNA (PPAT_LNC007063)". Lineage: Eukaryota; Viridiplantae; Streptophyta; Bryopsida; Funariales; Funariaceae. The record is from RNAcentral.